GUACUCCCAUUUCAAUUCCGGUUGAUCCUGCCGGAGGCCACUGCUAUGGGGGUCCGACUAAGCCAUGCGAGUCAUGGGGGUGUCCCUUCUGGGACACCACCGGCGGACGGCUCAGUAACACGUCGGUAACCUACCCUCGGGAGGGGGAUAACCCCGGGAAACUGGGGCUAAUCCCCCAUAGGUGUGGGGUACUGGAAGGUCCCCACACCGAAAGGGGCUUCGUGCCCGCCCGAGGAUGGGCCGGCGGCCGAUUAGGUAGUUGGUGGGGUAACGGCCCACCAAGCCGAAGAUCGGUACGGGCCAUGAGAGUGGGAGCCCGGAGAUGGACACUGAGACACGGGUCCAGGCCCUACGGGGCGCAGCAGGCGCGAAACCUCCGCAAUGCGGGAAACCGCGACGGGGGGACCCCCAGUGCCGUGGCAACGCCACGGCUUUUCCGGAGUGUAAAAAGCUCCGGGAAUAAGGGCUGGGCAAGGCCGGUGGCAGCCGCCGCGGUAAUACCGGCGGCCCGAGUGGUGGCCGCUAUUAUUGGGCCUAAAGCGUCCGUAGCCGGGCCCGUAAGUCCCUGGCGAAAUCCCACGGCUCAACCGUGGGGCUUGCUGGGGAUACUGCGGGCCUUGGGACCGGGAGAGGCGGGGGGUACCCCUGGGGU
Molecule: ribosomal RNA, 652 nt
Filed under: Thermococcus sp. LS2
Lineage: Archaea; Methanobacteriati; Methanobacteriota; Thermococci; Thermococcales; Thermococcaceae
Description: bacterial SSU rRNA
Rfam family: Archaeal small subunit ribosomal RNA
Source: RNAcentral